AUUCCAUGAUGGGGACAUUCUAGGACAAGUCUUGGAAGCGCUCCCAUGCUUCUGGAACAGAUUCAUCAUUUUGUUGCUGAAAACUUGUAAUCUUCCCACAGAGAGC
RNAcentral lists this small nucleolar RNA (106 nucleotides) under Sorghum bicolor (sorghum). Its description in RNAcentral is "Plant small nucleolar RNA R71". It matches the Rfam family "Plant small nucleolar RNA R71". Rfam says of the family: R71 is a member of the C/D box family of snoRNAs containing the C (UGAUGA) and D (CUGA) box motifs. Lineage: Eukaryota; Viridiplantae; Streptophyta; Magnoliopsida; Poales; Poaceae. The record is from Rfam by way of RNAcentral.